Molecule: ribosomal RNA, 377 nt
Filed under: uncultured eukaryote
Lineage: Eukaryota
Description: SSU rRNA
Rfam family: Eukaryotic small subunit ribosomal RNA
Source: RNAcentral
AGCUCCAAUAGCGUAUAUUUAAGUUGUUGCAGUUAAAAAGCUCGUAGUUGGAUUUCUGUCAGGCAUCUCAGGUCUGCCUCACGGUGUGUACUUGUUGUGUCUGACAUCAUGUCAGAUUGGGCGUUGCACUUAAUUGUGUGGGUCUAGUUUGGCAGCUGAUACUUUGAGAAAAUUAGAGUGUUCCAAGCACGCGAUAGCGUUGAAUACUGCAGCAUGGGAUAUCGAGACAGGACUUCGGUCCUAUCUUGUUGGUUCUCGGGAUCGAAGUAAUGGUUAACAGAGGCGGUUGGGGCCAUUCGUAUUGGACAGUCAGAGGUGAAAUUCUUGGAUUUGUCCAAGACGAACUACUGCGAAAGCAUUUGGCAAGGACGCUUUCA